UCCGUAGGCGGUGCGGCAAGUCGGAAGUGAAAUCUCAGGGCUUAACCCUGAGGCUGCUUCCGAAACUGCCGUGCUGGAGUGCGAGAGAGGCGAGUGGAAUUGCAGGUGUAGCGGUGGAAUGCGUAGAUAUCUGCAGGAACAUCCGAGGCGAAAGCGGCUCGCUGGAUCGCAACUGACGCUGAGGGACGAAAGCUAGGGGAGCAAACAGGAUUAGAUACCCUGGUAGUCCUAGCCCUAAACGAUCAGGACUGGGCGUGGGCCUCGUACGGGGCUCGUGCCGCAGCUAACGCGUUAAGUCCUGCGCCUGGGGAGUACGGUCGCAAGGCUGAA
This 330-nucleotide ribosomal RNA is filed under the name uncultured bacterium. Its description in RNAcentral is "bacterial SSU rRNA". It matches the Rfam family "Bacterial small subunit ribosomal RNA", at positions 568 to 898 of the family's 1533-position model. The record is from RNAcentral.